UAGGUUGGAAGUGAAUGUUUAGUAGCUGAAGGUACAACAUUGGGAGAGAAGUCUUCUGUGAAGAGGGCCAUUGUAGGAAAACAUUGUAAAAUUGGAGACAAAUGUAAAAUAGCUAACUCAGUCAUCAUGGAUUAUGUCAAUAUAUUAGAUGGGUAAGGAUUACAAUCACUUUCAUCAAAUAUUCUUUUUGUCAAGUGGCGAUCAUGACAAUAUUUGUGUCACGUAGUACCAUUAAACCCCUGUGGAAAAUGGCUACCAGGGUCAAUUUUUUAAUUCUGAUAUUUCAUUUAUUAUACAUGUACUGAAUGUUCUAUCAUUAAAUUGUCUUUUACUUAUAGAUUUAAAAUUGAACGUUAUCUAUGAAGUUACACAUAUAACCAUGAUAACUUUGUAACAGUCAUUAGAAACACAACAGAAUGAAGGCAAGACAACUUCUUUUUAUUUUGAUAGUCAAUGAGAAAGGUUCUUCUGAGGCCAAAACCAGGUCCAUGAGCAUUGUCUUUAUAAUUUAUUGAUGUGAAUUCAUUUAAUUUUUUUUUAAAUUAUCAAUUUUUGAUUAGCCUACAGGAGAGUGAUAUUAAAAAUAUUGUUUCCCUCUGGCCCAUUGGAGAGUAAAUUAUGUCCCUUGCAUUUUACAAUCAAAAUCUAGAAUUUUGACAUGAAGUUUAAUAAAUAAGAUUUGAAACAUGUCCAGGACAGACGAAAAUAUCAAAUACAAUGUAUAAGAUUAAAGGUAUAAAAACAGUAUUGGUAUUUCAAACAGGAUCAGUAACUAUUGCUUCAUGUUGACAUAAUUUAUGAUUUUGCAAAGCACUCUGUAUCUUUUUAGAAGGGUUAACUUGUUGUGACCCCCUAUUAACACUCAAAUUUUCCAGUUCACAUUUUAUUUUUAAGGUGUUCUGUGACUGGCAGUAUUGUAGGAUCUAAUGUACACAUACAUGAGAAAUGUGAGAUUAAAGACUGUAUUGUUGGAGCAGGACAGUCAUUAAAUGCCAUGGGUAAGUGGUUAAGAUAUCUUAUUUGUUGAGGUGUUAAAACAUCAUUGUCAUAGUGAAAACUGUACAAAAGUACACAGAAGAAAUUCAGAUACAAGUGCUGUAAAUUCAGAAAGCAUUGUGAGGUCUUUAUAAAUGCAAAUAAUUCAUUUGUCCCAAUAGCAAGAACUGUCAUUCUAAUAUCUGCAAUAAUUAAUGUCAUAAUAUGGUUGGUCAUGUCAAAUAUGUGAUAGUUUCUGACUUUACAUAAUAGUUUUAGCUAUUUGGUAACAUGAGUAGUUAAGACGUUUCUAUUUAAAAGCCCAUUUCAGUUUUACCAAUGAUUUUGUUUUAUUUAGUUAUCAAUUAUUAGCGUUUCUCUUCAAAUAUUUGACCCAAGAUUCUUUUAAAAUAUUAAAAGGCUUUCCUUCUUGUUUUUUUUUCAGGUCAAUUUACAAAUGAAGCAAUAGUAGAUAUCAGCUGGUAGAUAUAGACAAAAUGUUGGAGAUCUAGUGAUGUACACUUUACAAGUAUAAUAAAAUCAAAUUGCAAAGUGAAAUCUUUCCUUACCUAAGCAAUGCAUGAAAUGGAAGAUUAUUUCCUGUGUGAAGUAUGUAAAGCUGUUUAAGAAGACAAUGCCUGAAAUAUUCAGACUUAUAAGAAAUAUCUCAACAUCAAUAAACCAUUAUUUUUAGUUCUGCAAGAAUAAUUUUCAAUGAAAGGAAGACUAAAUGCAUUACACUAUUCAAUAAAUUCAACAUUAGAUUUCACCUUUAUAUGGUGAAUAAAUUGAGAAAGGUGCAAUGGGAAAUUUCCUUGGAUGGUUUAAACUCUAUCGUUUUGUGCAAAGAUAAUAAACUGUAUGAUCAUGAUUUUUAUUUUCAAUUUUCUAAGUGGUUUUCUUGACUUAAACCAGUGUUUGUGUAAACAUGUGUUAUAUAUGGUCUUUAGAAAUGAAGGUUACAUAUAGUCUGGAUUGAAGGAAAUUGCAAAGUAAGCAUUGACCCGUGUAGAUCGUAGUAACAACACUAAUUAACCCAAGGUAAAGUGACCAACAGAUUAAAACCCAUCAAAGGUGUUAAUUAGGCCAUAAACAUGUCACCUGAAAAAUCCGUUGUAACAUAAACAAAUGCUAUAAACGUAUCUUGAAUUGCAACAUAAUUCUUAUCAAAAUCAAGCCCAGCAUGAAAUUAUUAUUUCCCAUAUGUACGAGAACUAUGAAGAUAUAAAAUGAACACUUUAUAUCAUACUAGCC
This 2229-nucleotide long non-coding RNA is filed under the name Mytilus galloprovincialis (Mediterranean mussel). Lineage: Eukaryota; Metazoa; Mollusca; Bivalvia; Mytilida; Mytilidae. The record is from RNAcentral.